UUGGAAGCGUCUAUAAAAAUGCAAGAUCGCCUCUGAGAGUGGGGAAACUCUCUCUACGAUGGCCAUACGGGUGAUUAACGCACUGAAUAACCUGUCCUUUGAGAAGGGGAUCACUAGUCCGAAAGGAUAGCUAAUACCCUAUAUUGCCUCUUUGUCACUAAGGCAAAAGGUGAAAGCCAGGCUGUCUAAAGCUUCGGCUCAAAGACGGGAUCGCGUCCUAUCAGGUAGUUGGUGGGGUAAUGGCCUACCAAGCCAAUGACGGGUAGCUGGUCUUAGAGGAUGAUCAGCCAUAGUGGGAUUGAUACACGGGCCGCUCCCCAUACGGGGGGCAACAUUGGGGAAUCAAGGGCAAUGGGCGCAAGCCUGACCCCGCAAUGCCGCGAGAAGGAAGAAGCCCUUCGGGGUGUAAACCUCUGUCAGAUGGGAAGAUGGGACCUAGGGGCUAAUACCUCACGAUUUUGACGGUACCAUCAAACGAAGGGACGGCUCACUACGUGACAGCAGUCGCGGUAAU
This 514-nucleotide ribosomal RNA is filed under the name uncultured bacterium. Its description in RNAcentral is "bacterial SSU rRNA". It matches the Rfam family "Bacterial small subunit ribosomal RNA", at positions 37 to 524 of the family's 1533-position model. The record is from RNAcentral.